Molecule: unclassified non-coding RNA, 382 nt
Filed under: Hevea brasiliensis (rubber tree)
Lineage: Eukaryota; Viridiplantae; Streptophyta; Magnoliopsida; Malpighiales; Euphorbiaceae
Source: RNAcentral
CCAGAGCAGAACAAGACAAGUACCAUGGGGUCAUUCUUCUUCCAGAGGGGCUCAUAGAAAGCAUUCCCGAAGUUUAUGCUCUCUUGAAGGAAAUACAUGGUUUGCUAAGGCAAGGUGUUGCCUCCAACAACAUUUCAUCUCAACUCUCACCAUGGGCUUCUGCUUUGUUUGAAUUCUUGCCACCCUUUAUCAAGAAACAGCUGCUCCUUUACCCUGAAUCAGAUGACUCAGCACAGUUAUCCCAGAUUGAGACGGAGAAACUUCUAGCGCAUCUUGUCGAGGCAGAAAUGAGCAAGCGGCUGAAAGAAGGCACAUACAAGGGGAAAAAAUUCAAUGCUAUCUGCCACUUUUUUGGUUAUCAGGCCCGGGGUUCUGUGCCAUC